This 393-nucleotide ribosomal RNA is filed under the name uncultured bacterium. RNAcentral's name for it is "partial 16S ribosomal RNA". It matches the Rfam family "Bacterial small subunit ribosomal RNA", at positions 523 to 918 of the family's 1533-position model. The record is from RNAcentral.
AUACGUAGGUGACAAGCGUUAUCCGGAUUUACUGGGCGUAAAGGGCGUGUAGGCGGUCUUGCAAGUCAGAAGUAAAAUUCCUGAGCUCAACUCGGGCGCUGCUUCUGAAACUGCAGGACUUGAGUGCUGGAGGGGAUAGCGGAAUUCCUAGUGGAGCGGUAAAAUGCGCAGAUAUUAGGAAGAACACCGGUGGCGAAGGCAUCUCACGAAGGGUUGAUUGACGCUGAGGCACGAAAGCGUGGGGAUCAAACAGGAUUAGAUUCCCUGGUAGUCCACGCAGUAAACGAUGAUGGCUAACCGCUGGGCUUAUCAGUUCAGUGGCCAAGCGAAAGCGAUAAGCCACCCACCUGGGGAGUACGACCGCAAGGUUGAAACUCAAAGGAAUUGACGGGG